CCUCUUUCUCGCCCCUUGCCUCUCGCAAAAGGCAACGGACCCAGGCGACGAAUCAAACGCCAUUUUUUUGGGCCUCUUUAUCCUGCGACUCUUUCCGUGGUUGUGAGGAUCCGAUCCUCCCUCCCUCCUUGAUAUCUGCCCCCCUUCCCUUCCCCUUCUCUCUGGAACGCAACUAAGAACCCACCACCGGAAAGAAACCCUAGUUUUUUUUUGGUGCCCUUUUGGAGCUCGAAGAGGCAAAGACGAGGAGGAGGAGGUGGGGACGAUGAACGACGCCGAUGUGUCGAAGCAGAUCCAGCAAAUGGUCCGGUUCAUCCGGCAGGAAGCCGAGGAGAAAGCUAAUGAGAUCUCCGUCUCCGCCGAAGAGGAUUCACGAUAAUCUUUGGCUGAUUGUGGAAGAUUUCCCCCUCCACUACAUGCAGGAAUUCAACAUAGAAAAGCUGCAGCUAGUCGAAGCAGAGAAAAGAAAGAUCCGACAAGAAUAUGAACGCAAGGAAAAACAGGUGGAAAUUCGCAGGAAAAUUGAGUAUUCAAUGCAGCUCAAUGCAUCACGUAUCAAGGUUUUGCAAGCCCAAGAUGAUCUUGUAAAUUCAAUGAAAGAGGCUGCUAGCAAGGAGCUUUUGCGUGUUUCUAAUGACUCAAAGGCCUAUAAAAUGCUUUUGAAAGGACUGAUAGUCCAGAGCUUACUACGUCUGAAAGAGCCAUCAGUUUUACUACGCUGCAGGAAGGUUGACCGUAAAGUGGUAGAAUCUAUCUUGAAUGAGGCUAAACAAGAGUAUGCAGAUAAAGCAGCAGUUCAUCCACCAAAAAUUACUGUUGAUAAUGUGUAUCUUCCACCACCUCCAACCAACAAUGAGACUCAUGGAAUGUUUUGCUCUGGAGGUGUUGUGCUGGCUUCACAAGAUGGGAAGAUUGUCAUUGAGAACACAUUGGAUGCAAGACUGGAUGUUGCUUUCCGACAGAAAUUACCUGAGGUAUGGAUAUGAUGCAUCUGAGGCAUCUUCCGGUGGCUACUGUUCUAUGCAAUUCGGAGCAUCUUACAGGUUAGAUUUUGCUGUCGGCUUAUUUGGAUGAGCUCCUUCACGAUUGUUUUAUCAGCUAGAGGACACCUCUCAGAGCUAAAGCUUCAGCGAGAGAUCUGAGAGUGCUUAUAACCUAGAGCGUAUUUUUUAUAGGGUGGACAUAUAAGACUACAAUGUCGCUUGGUUAGAGGGGUGAGCUGAUCUACCUCCUGAUUAUGCUAGUGAUCUGAAUAUCUACAAGAGGUAUCACCACUCGACGAGAUUUUAGAUAUCGAUCAGAAAGCGUCUCUUCGGAAAGAUGGAAGCCUGAUUUGUUCAUAUCUAUAUUUUCCUUUGCAAUAAAAGAUCAAUCUGGUCCUUUCUUCCCUUUCUGUAAUUUGGUCAUAUUGUCUCUUUCAUAAACGUUGACUUGGUUCCAAUUUGAGAUUGACAGUUGGUCUUGUAUUCAGUAGCGCCAAAGUCACUGCUCCGUAACAUGCCAAACAAAAUCUGUUUCAUCCUAUCACACAACCCUGGUAUUAUUCUUGUUGUAAUUGCUUUGAAUGGGCUUGCCCAUACAAUGGGAUCCUAAGAUAAGCCUUAAUGGCACUUCUGCUU
Molecule: RNA transcript, 1619 nt
Organism: Phoenix dactylifera (date palm)
Lineage: Eukaryota; Viridiplantae; Streptophyta; Magnoliopsida; Arecales; Arecaceae
Gene name: V-type proton ATPase subunit E-like
Source: RefSeq, a predicted model, not a curated record